GUGGGGAAUAUUGGACAAUGGGCGAAAGCCUGAUCCAGCCAUGCCGCGUGUGUGAAGAAGGUCUUCGGAUUGUAAAGCACUUUAAGUUGGGAGGAAGGGCAGUAAGUUAAUACCUUGCUGUUUUGACGUUACCGACAGAAUAAGCACCGGCUAACUUCGUGCCAGCAGCCGCGGUAAUACGAAGGGUGCAAGCGUUAAUCGGAAUUACUGGGCGUAAAGCGCGCGUAGGUGGUUUUGUAAGUUGGAGGUGAAAUCCCCGGGCUCAACCUGGGAACUGCCUCCAAAACUGCAUGACUAGAGUACGGUAGAGGGUAGUGGAAUUUCCUGUGUAGCGGUGAAAUGCGUAGAUAUAGGAAGGAACACCAGUGGCGAAGGCGACUACCUGGACUGAUACUGACACUGAGGUGUGAAAGCGUGGGGAGCAAACAGGAUUAGAAACCCUAGUAGUCC
This 450-nucleotide ribosomal RNA is filed under the name uncultured bacterium. Its description in RNAcentral is "partial 16S ribosomal RNA". It matches the Rfam family "Bacterial small subunit ribosomal RNA", at positions 354 to 796 of the family's 1533-position model. The record is from RNAcentral.